GGCUCCUCUGCCCCACCUGUCAGUCUCCCCUCUGCCCCUACUUGCCUUGUGCCAAGCUGCCUCUCCUCCUUUUCCUCAAGCGGAGCAGGGCAAAGCAGAGUGGAGCAGAGGAGGCCACACAAUAACUGCAGAGUAGAGCAGAGCAGCGGCCAGCGGAGCAGAUCAGAUGGCGCCUCCAUCGUCUUCGCCGGGCGUGCGCGUGCUCGACCGGAUCCGCGUCUCGCCGCCGCCGCCGCCCGAUUCCGCGCUCCCGCUCACCUUCUUCGACGUGGCCUGGUUCUUCACCGGCCCCGUCGAGCGCCUCUUCUUCUACCGCCACCCGGACCCGGCCUCCGCGCUCCCGCUCCUCCGCUCCUCGCUCGCCGUCGCGCUCCGCCGCUUCUACCCGUUGGCCGGCACCAUCAGGCCCCACCCGCCGUUCCUCUGCUCAUACACCCCUGGCGCCGACGCCCUCACCUUGGUCGUCGCCGAGUCCGACAGCCCCGACGAGUUCGACCGCAUCGUCGCCAGGUCGCCCAGGGACCUGGCCGGGAUCCGCCCGCUCGUGCCGCAGCUGCCGCCGCCUGGGGAGGACGGGGCGUUCGCGCUCGCCGCCGUGCAGGCCACCGUCUUCCCCGGCCGCGGGCUCUGCCUCGGCGUCUCCGUCCACCACGCCGCCUGCGACGACGCCUCCACCAUGCAAUUCGUCCGCACCUGGGCCGCCGCCUGCCGUCUCGGCCUCGAGAGUGACGACGGAUCCGAUCCGAGGACGCCGCGCUGCCGCCGCGCCCGGUCCUGGACCGCUCCCUCGUCGCUGACCCCGACGACCUGCGCGGGAAGACGCUCGCCGGGAUGGCGCGGCUCGCCCCUCCUCCGCCUCCUCCGCCGCCGCCGCAGCAGGAGCAGGAGGAGAAAGCGCCGAUGGUGAUGGCGUCGUUCCUGCUGCCGCGCCACCAGAUCGACCGCAUCAAGGAGGGGGCGGUGGCGAAGGCAGACGCGAAGCCGUCGUCUUUCGUGGCGGCGUCGGCGCUGGCGUGGGUGUGCCUCAUCAAGUCCGGAUCCGCCGGCGUCGCGGGCGCCGAGCGCAGCCACAUGCUCUUCUCCGCCGAGUGCCGGACCAGGCUGACGCCGCCGCUCCCCGCCGAGUACUUCGGCAACUGCCUGCGCCCCUGCUUCGUGGAGUCCGCCACGGCGGACCUCCUCUCCGGCGAGACAGCGGACGGCGUGGCUGCUGCGGCGUCGGCGAUCGGGAGCGCGAUCAGGGAGAUGGAGCAGGGCGUGCUGGAGGGCGCGGAGGGGUGGCUGGGCAAGGUGCUGUCUGUGCUUCCGGAGCGGCCCAUGUCGGUGGGCGGAUCACCCAGGCACGGCGUGUACGAGACCACAGACUUCGGAUGGGGCCGGCCAGCGAGGGUGGAGAUGGUGUCGGUGGAGAAGACGCCGGGCACGGUGGCGCUGGCGGACAGCCCGGAGGGUGACGGCGGCAUCGAGCUCGGGGUGGUGUUGCCGACCGACGCCAUGGACGCCUUCGCUUCCUGCUUCGCCGAUGCCCUCGGUGGCGCCGCCAUCUGACUGGCAUUGCCGAUCCGAGGUGCAGCUGCAUUCUUCAGCAACACAAAACGAAGGUUGCAUCCAAGCAGCGUAGUGGAAUCUGUGAGUUUUGUAUUCAAUUUGCUUUUCUGGUUGAGUGAGCUUGAUCUGGAAGUAGUACAGCAGCAUGUACUGCGACAUGGAGUAAUAAGCUGCUUGUGAGCGGGUCGAAUUGUUCGAAAUCAAAUCAAACAAACAUUAUGAACAAGUUUUUUUGCAAUGUUCUUACAGUAUAACACAACUGAGCGACAAGCAGACAGAUGGAGUCGCUAUUGGGAAGGAAAUUUCCGGAAAAUUUCUGUUCAACAAGGCUCUCACACUGAGCCCAACCCAACAGCCAGGAAGCAGCCCAUCGCAAAUACAGGCACACUGUACCUGAACUCCAGUUGUGCCAAAAAAAACUGAACGCCAGUUUUGUUUUGUUUAAAAAAAAAUAAAACUAGAUGUUGUGUAUGA
Molecule: RNA transcript, 2022 nt
Organism: Panicum virgatum (switchgrass)
Lineage: Eukaryota; Viridiplantae; Streptophyta; Magnoliopsida; Poales; Poaceae
Gene name: malonyl-coenzyme:anthocyanin 5-O-glucoside-6'''-O-malonyltransferase-like
Exons: 1
Source: RefSeq, a predicted model, not a curated record